AGUAAAGUCAGCUAAAUAAGCUAUCGGGCCCAUACCCCGAAAAUGCCUCACGGCCUUUACUA
RNAcentral lists this transfer RNA (62 nucleotides) under Bungarus multicinctus (many-banded krait). Its description in RNAcentral is "tRNA-Met". The record is from RNAcentral. Lineage: Eukaryota; Metazoa; Chordata; Lepidosauria; Squamata; Elapidae.